Molecule: ribosomal RNA, 220 nt
Filed under: uncultured bacterium
Lineage: Bacteria
Description: partial 16S ribosomal RNA
Rfam family: Bacterial small subunit ribosomal RNA
Source: RNAcentral
GCAAGUCGAACGAAGCCUUCGGGCUUAGUGGCGCACGGGUGCGUAACGCGUGGGAACCUGCCUUGAGGUUCGGAAUAACAGUUAGAAAUGACUGCUAAUACCGGAUAAUGUCUUCGGACCAAAGAUUUAUCGCCUUUAGAUGGGCCCGCGUUAGAUUAGAUAGUUGGUGGGGUAAUGGCCUACCAAGUCUACGAUCUUUAGCUGGUUUGAGAGGAUGAUC